UAGCUUCCAAACCACAAUUAGUACUAUAUAAAAUUAAAUAAUAUUAUCCAAAUGCAUAAUUAACAGUACACCAUAUGAUGACUAAAAUAUUGUCCAUGUGCAUAUUGAGUACUACACAUAAUUAAUAGCUCACCACAUAAUAAUAUUGCCCAAGUGCUUAUGUAGUACUACACCACAUAAUUGAUAGUUCACAUAAUAAUAUUGCCCAAGUGCAUUAUUAAUACUGCACCACAUUAAAACAUCGAUAUCUUUAACCUUAGGAAAAUUGUUGAAGCCGAAAUUUUCUAUGCUUUGUACUUUUAGCCAAGAAAGCUUUAGCUUUGGAUUCACGAACCGCAAGAUAAUCAAACACACUACAAAGGAAGUCGCCAUCAAAUCUUUCCACCUCUAUCGCCAUCACUUCUCUGUAAAUAUGUUGUGUUUUAUCCUCAGUAAAUUGUUUCAAUGCAUAAGCAAUCUUACCAAGUUGCUCACCCACAAAAUGAAUUUGUUCAUCAACGACACUUUCUUGAAUAUUUCUCCUUUUACGUUUAAAUGUGCCAGAUGAAUAUGCUUUUGUUCUUACCUCCUUAACAUCUUCGUUUUUGCAAUUUCAUCAUAAUGAUCAAUGCUUUUGUUCAAUAAUGGUUCAUACUUCUUGUGUGCCCGUUGGAUAUUAUACACAUUUAGAAUAGCAAGUAAAAAACAACUGAAAUAUAUUUAACAUAUAUAUAUUACCAUGACCGCUGCAUCAUAUGUUGUUCUAUCACAUGUAAUCAUUUUCAUAUUAUUUUCCCAUCCAGAACCACAUUCGACUCAAAUUGUGCAUAUAAUUUGCCAUGUGUUUUUUACAGUCCUUAGAUGAUUUUCCACAUGCUUAGCAUCACAUUGAACUUGGAAUCUUUCAAAAAUAGCUACAACAACUUGAUUAACAGAAACUGUUGAAAGUGUUAGGAGUCUUAUUUUCUUUCUAGGCCUCAUCUGCAAGAAUUUCAAGAAAAAGAUGUUCCAUUGGUUUUGUCCAUCUGAAUUGCUUUAUUGUCCCUUUUUGUUGCCCUUACCCAUUUUCCAUUAAUAAUUUAUAUUAUCUAUAAUUUCAAUAUCCAACAAGCUUAAAACAUAAUAAUUUCAAUAUUCAACAAGCUAAUUUUAAUAUCAAUAUUCAAUAACAUUAAAAAAAUAACAAUUUGAAUAUUAAAACAUACAUAAUAUAGAAAUGCUAACCUUAAGUCAUAAACCUAUCUAAUGUUUCUAGCAAUAUAAUCAAUCCACAUAGUUUGUGCAAUUUUCUCUCUCUUAGUAGACCAUUCGCUUGCUUCUCAUAUAACCCUUGAUUAAGUAAAUCAUUAGGAUCAACUCCUAUUAUCUGAUUAUGAAUGAUACAACAAGCCAACACUGUAUCUACUUGAGUUUGGAAAUUCUAAAAUGGUUUAGCAUCUAACACACAAAAUCGUUUCUUCAAAAUCCCACAAAAUGGUUUAGCAUCUAACUCCUUUGCAUUUUUGGCCCCUUAUCAUUAAACUCUUUUAGUUGAUAUUAGACACCAUGAUAUGGAGUAAUAUAUCCAUAUCGGAUGCCAUAUCCAGCAUUAGCAAGAUAAUAUUUACCUAUAAUUUUACAAAACAUAAUUAUUACUAAUAAAUUAUGAGCUUAAUUGAACUAUUUUGUAUAAUUAAUGUUAAUUCUUAUCUUUUGGAAUUUUAAAUCUUCUUGGGCAUGCAAGUGCGUCACUUAAAAUACGAGAAUCAUGUGCACUACCUUCCCAACCAAUGUAAUGCCAGCUAAUACAUUUUGUGUCGUCCCCCAUUUACGGCUACGAAAUCUUCCUUGAAUACUAAGUGGAAUGGAUGCACGAACAAGUGUUCCAUCUAAUGCUCUAAUGCAAUAUAUAAAAUGAGGAUAUAACUUUGGAUUGUUUCUAAUUUCAAAAGGAUUUGACUCAUCAAGUAAUCUAAUGACUAGUUUAUAAAAUUUCAAAAUAGCUCUUAUUACAACCCUAAAGUAAUAAUGAAUUGUCUCAAUUGAUCUAUAAUAUCUUGAUCCAAUCCCUCAAAAUCUUACAAUAUGGCCAAUUAUAUGUAAAAAUACAACCACUUGCUCCCUAUUAUUCACUGAUUUUGUUUAUUGUAACAAAAUGUUCCUAUUAAGAAUGUCACACAAAUUAAAAAAAAAAGAAACCGAUCUCAUCAUUAUCACAUCAAUACAAUUGUUAGCUCAAAUAAUCAAAUUGAAAUUUCCAGGAGGGGGUUAAUUGGCUUUUCUAAAAUUUUGUGGAAGCUAGAGAAUAAGGAUAGAAAAAUUUGACACAAAAAUUUAGAGUGGUUCGGCCCCAAUUGCCUACUCCACUACCAUAGCUUUCCACUACUAAGGAUUUUCUCAAAUUCACUAAUCUGAUAACCUUUGAGGACAAGAUUUAACAUUACAAACUCCCUGAAGGUUUCCACCUAAACCUUAAGACACAAACCUUUCUCAAAGAGAUACAAAUAAGCAAAUAAAUAGAAACACUUGAGCUGAAUGAAAACAAUGAAAGCUCACAAGUGUUUAAAGAAAAUUGAUGAGAAUUGUAAACACAAACUUGUUUUAAUUGAUCUUUAAAUUUGAUAAUCUCUCUAUUAUGUUUUAGGACCUUUUAGAAGCUGGUUUAUAUACCCCCUAAUCGAUUUCCAACUGUUGUGAUUGUUGUAGACAUGAAUAGAGAAGUUGAUGAUGAAAUCACCAGUGCAUUUAAUUCACCUGCAACUACGACUAUCGAUACUGACCAAAGAGGUAUCAAUAUUUUUUGCAUUUAAUUUAAAAUUCAAUGGUCGUUGGAGCUAAAGAUAUCGAUACCAAUGGACUUUUAUAGAUGCCAUAUAAAAAAAGUAUUGAUACUGGGUCGAUAAUUAGCUGAAUUGGUUGAGAAAUAGAAUGUCAAUUUGGUACCAAUUUUUAAAGGGGUAUCGAUAUUUUAGAAAGUAUCGAUCGUAAUGCCCCAAAAAUGUGAGUUUUCUUACUAGGUUGUGUUAAUGAAAAUGUGGGUGUUUCUGCGGUAAUAUGCUCUAGUUGCUCACUGAAGGUCUAUGGUUCAAGUCGCAUCUUUUAAAGUUUUAUGUAUUCUUUAAUUGAAUUUUUAGACUUGCAAGUGUCACAUAAGUUAAAUUUUGUGUGUUGAUGUCUCAAUGAUGAGCCUAAAGGUUCAAUGGUUAAACAUCUGUCUGUUUCAUUGGUCCCGUGUUUGAAUCUCUACAUGUGAAUUAAGUAAUAUUAUUUUUGAACUUUUCUGUAAAUAUCGAUAUUAGAAUUUUAAAUGAAUUUCCUAAUACGUUUAACUUCUUUUCCCUCACUUUUUUUAUUUUCUUAUUUAUUUUUGGCAUUGUUUUUUAAUUCCUCUUCGUAUAACGUUCUGUUGGGUUAAUUGUUGAAUCAUAUCGUGCUGUUGGUUGUUUCGGUGCUUAAAGGUAAGAUUAAACCGUAGUAAUUCUGGUUUUUAUGUAUGAAUUAUGAAUUUCUUUGAAAUCCCAAAGUGAGGGUGUUGAUGAGAUGCCUAUUGCUUUUCUCUUCUUCUAGAACUCGAGUGUGUGCUGUUGAACUUUCGGUAAAAAAGUUUUGUUCGUUUCAAGUUUGUGAAUUUAAGGUUGCAACGUUGAUUGUUGUUGUAAUUUAGCGCAUCCCUUUAAAUCUCUGUUAAUUAAGUAAUUGAAUUUGGUUUAUAGGCUUUGGGAGUCUCGGGAUUGCUUCUGCGUCGUCGAUGUUUCAGUAGGUUAUCGAAACAUUUCUUCUUCUAUGUUUUUUUAUCAUCGAAAUUGGGACAGUCGAUGGCACACGGGCGUGUAUGCCACACGGUUGAUUGGAGAACCGUGUGAUGGAAUGUGUAACUGACUGAAUUUAGAUUUGAGACACACGGACGAGCUACACGGACGAGCUACAUGAGCUGCACUGAUUGACUUCAUUACUUAUGUUUUAGGGUCACACGAGCAAGGGACACAGGUGUGUGCCAGAUUGUGUGAGGUGCACGGUCAGCACACGGGCGUGUACCUAGAUCAUGUAACUCACUAACUUGGUGAAUAGAGGGACACAAGCAGCCACACGGCUGUGGGCUAGACCGUGUAGAGUCGUACGGGCACCCACACGGGCAUGUGAGCUUGAAUCACCUAAUUUCUGUUAACACCAUAAUUGUUGUACGAGGUGAGUGUAAGCCGUCUGUAGGAUAUGUAUGAACUAAACUAAACUGUAUGAUUUGCUUUAUCAUGAUUAUAAACUGGUUCUACAUACUUGUGUGAGACAAUUCGUAAGGAUUUGAACCCUCUAUUAUAUUGGAACUGUAUGAUUGUAUCCGUAUAAGAAUUCAUAUAUUGGUCAUCUAUUCUUUGCAUUUGCAUGGGGCGGGAAGUAUGAAUUGAAAGAAGUGUUCUGUACUGAUUUCGUGGUCAAACCACCCGUAAUUAUAUUUGAUUUGACAGUGAGACCGUAAACACUGCAACGUGACGUACUAUGAGGUGUGUAGGGCUAGACGGGUAUUAUAUACCUACUGGUGUGUUGGGUUGGUCAGAGAUGGUGUGUAGCGGAUGAGGGUAGGAUAAUUGCAUAUGUAUCUGUAUUUACAUCUGAAUCUAUUUUUGUAUCUGAUCUGCUGUGUAUCUGAACUACUCGGUAUCUGAUACUAUUGUGAAUUAUUAAUUUGAUCGAAUAAGACUGAGUGUGUUGUCUCAAUUCUCAAUGAUAUCUAAGUUAUUUUACGUACGUUGAGUAUUUAUAUUUUAAAUUAGGUUGAAACGUAUUAACUAGACUGAAUGAAUUUCAGGAACCUCCCAGAACUAAGUGGCCAGCGGACGUGGGACUCGGUCAUCUAAUGGUCCUAUUUUAAAUAUAUGUGUGCGUGUGUGUUUAAACUUGUUAUUUGUUUUCCAACUUUAAGUUUUAAGAUUUAAUUAUGUUGAAUGGUUGAUGGUUUUAAGACUUAUCUAUGUAUCGAUUAAACCGGCUUUAACUCCAUCUGUUUCUAGUAAGUUCAUUUGACAUCCUAGGCUUGGUCUUUUUGUUUAGGCCGGGUUCAUGGUGUUACAUCGAUGCUUUUUAGCCUAGAGCUAUUCUGACUUGUUUUAAAAAUAGUUUAACUAAUUGACAACAUUCUAAUUUGAUUGAAAUCAUUAACUUGAAUUAAAAGUUUACUCAAAAAUUUUCUAAGAGUCCAAAGUAUAAUAUUCAAAAUGUUAUCUCUUAAAUUUCAUUCAAAAUACCUUUUUGCCAACUUUUUUCACCUUUAACUUUUAUUUGAAAAUAUUUUAAUUUGAUAUAUCAAAAAAUAUUAUCAAAUAAAUCUUGGUUAACAACAAUGCUGAUCACCUAUAUAUAAAAUAUUAUUAAUCUAAUUUUCUCUUUCAUAAUCUCGUAUCACACGAGGGUAAUAAGCAAUUUGUUUCCUAGUUUUUAAUCUAUUAAUCCAAAGAGCCCAAGAGCUCAUACUGAAGCCAUGACCCCAACUAUUGCAUUAUGAUCUUCAUUAUGGUCCAUCUACACAAAAUAAUUCCACAAAAAUAUUUGAACAUUACGAAAAAUAAUUUCAAGUUGUGGUUGAGCUCAAGAACUAAUGAAACCAACAUCAGCAAUAAAAAAUACAAACCAAACCUAAACCACAAGACAACCACACCAAAUCACAUAGCGAGUACCUCAAGAAACAACUCAAAUCACAAGACAAUCAGAAGAACGCAUGCCCACGUUAACAAAAAAAAACAAUGCACCAAGGCAUAAACACUGCUUGUUUAGCCACUUGUUAUAUGCACUUAGUUCUUCAUUCAUCCUUAAACCCACAUAAAGAAAUAUUGAACCAUUGAUAAUUCCUUACUUACUUGCAUUAGCUACGAACUCAACCUUCACCCAACUUCUAUGACUAUAUCGCAUUUCAUGUAAAAAUUCUAUACACAUCACCCUUUUGGUCACAAUUGAAAUCCUAAAGGAUCAAUCAUUUCAAUUACUAAUAUGUAGCUAAAAAACAUGCAGAUCAGAAGCAUGAUAAGUUAGGAACAAUAACACAACCAAAGAAACACACACAAUCAUUGCAAUGGAGAGUAAACAAACAAAACUCAUAUAUAUUAAGAAUGGAACAAAUAUUAUAAUUGUAAUAUGCUUAAUAUUAUUUUUGAAAAAAUAAUUUUGAAAUUUCAUUGAGACAUUUCAACAAACACCAAACAGACACAAUCACUAAACAAAUUAAAACAUAGUUACUUAAGCUCAAGCUAACCCUGCAACUUUUACUUAGAAGUAUAAUUGCUAUCAACAAUUUUACCAAAACAAACAUCUAAAAAAAUAAUUUACAAUUAUGUCUUUCAGUGUUCCAACAAGAACAACUCAAUUCUUAAGGAAAAAGCCCAACAUCUAUUAAAUAAACCCAAAGAGCUAAAGCAAAUAGACAUACUAUCAAUAUCAAUGAACUGAUUUCGCCAAAUCAUUGGCAGAAUCAAAUUGACACCAGCAUCAAAAGAAAAUUUUGCUCUUAAAAGUAAAAAGACGACAGAAAACUUCUUGCAUUAUUCUCAACGAAGCAAUUCACUAGCUUUAGAAAUUCUCAACACUUACUUGUACGAAGGCCCUAAAAAGAUAAGCAAAGGCAAAAUUAACAGUAGUAAAAACCAUGCCAAGAGUUGGCAAGAGUUAAUUUUUUUUGUAUUUAUCGUUAAAGUUAAAAAACGUAUUUAUCGUUAAUUAAUGUCUAAAUGAAGAUUCAAUCUGACCCAUUAGAUAAUAAUCUUUACUAUUAAUUUAGUAUUGGACAUAAAUGGAGGAAUUUUGUAUUGGAUGGAACGUAACCCUUUAGAUCCUAACUCCAAAACUACAUUAAUUAGAAUUAAUCAAAUAAUGUACUUCAUUGAAACUGAUAAAACCGUAUGUGUUAAUUAAAUUGAUUUUAACCCAUUUUCUCUAAUCGAAUCAAAGCUACAAACCACCAAAAUUUCCCAAAAUAUUUUCUAUUUUAUUAGUCGCAACUCACAAUCGUCGUCCAAACAAUACAAGCCAUUUCACACUAGCAAGUUAUGAUCAAUAAACCAACAUACAUCUUCAACACAACAAGAGAAAACAAAGCGAACCAAAUUGAAAAAAGUAUAGGAGAGUAAUGGGAAAUAGCAAUAGGAUCGAAAAAAAUAAAUAUGGCAAAGUGAUGCGGAGACAAAGGCAGAGACCAAAGAACAGAAAUCGAACCAAUCUUCAAGUUAAGCUGAGGGUUUCAAAACUUACCUUCUUUUUAUGGUCUUUAGCUAGGUUGUCAAAAACUUGAAGGCAAUAAAAGGGUUAGGUCAAGGACUAGAGGCGGCGGAGGGAUGGGUAAAAUGGGAGGACAAGAAGACAAGGCGACGGAGGGAUUGGAGAGAUGGGUGAAUUUUCUGGUUAGUUUACCAGGGCAUGUGAAGAGGAGAAACGAUUGGAAAAUGUCUUACGAGAUUAGAAAGCGUAAGACAUUUCCCUAAAACAGACUUUCAUUCUAUUGUGUUUUGGAGAGGGAUUUCCUUCGGUAACACAUUUUCCACCAAACAAACAUGGGAAAACAAUAAAAAUGUUAAAAAC
RNAcentral lists this long non-coding RNA (7515 nucleotides) under Gossypium barbadense (sea-island cotton). RNAcentral's name for it is "long non-coding RNA (GBAR_LNC019822)". The record is from RNAcentral. Lineage: Eukaryota; Viridiplantae; Streptophyta; Magnoliopsida; Malvales; Malvaceae.